UGCCGGCUCCGGCGGUGAUGGAUCACCGUUUCAGUGGCAUUUAAAUCCCCGGCGCUCCUCUGUCUAGGUGACGCGCAGCAGCCCCCCCAGGCAGCCCAGGCGGCCGCAGCAGCUGCAGCGGCUGCAACGACAGAUUCCGAGCGCUGGGGCGAAGGGAGCAGAGGCUGCCUUCUGCGCGCCCCCCUCCCCCCAGGAGGUGGGAGCUGGGAGGCAUCCCCCGCCUCCGCCCCCUCCCCACCACGCUCWGAAAGAUGAACUGGCAAGAGGUUUCAUGUCAACCUCGGGCUUGUGGAGAAAAAAGGCCAAGCAGAGACUGAAAACUGAUGCAUUCUUAAGCAGAAGUCCAGAGAUCAUCUAAGAAGCUUUACAACCAAAGCUGCAUAGAUUUUACUUUGACAUGUUUGUGACAUUGGAUCGGAGAGAUGAAAUUAAUAGUGAGGAUUAUAGAAAGAGAAAGAGCGAGGAGGAGACAAAACGCCGCCCAGGCCCCGGAGCCGCUCAUGGCAUCCGCGGCUCAGCCAAGCUGUUGUUUUAAAAGAGCAAUAAAAAUGAAUUAUGACUGAACGCCUUCUAACUUAAUGCUUUCGGACGGGGAUCCCCGGCAAAUACGACGAAUCGCAUCCAGGAGCGGCGCAGCCCUGGCCGCAGCCCGGACGCCUUGCUCGGCGCUAAGCCUGAGCCUAGGUCCGGAAGCCUGCCACAAACGCCACAGGCCGCUGCUGCUGCUGCUGCUGCUGCUGCUGCUGCUGCUACUACUGCUGGGAUUUAGCGGGUGAAGAGGUGACAGAAAGUAGGGAGCAAACCCAUGAGGAAAGAUCACGAUUUUAUUCUAACUUCCAAGCCUUUGCUGUUAAGAGCAGGGUUCUUAAAUCAACCGGCCCAACACACACGUGUUGCUGCGCUUUCUCACGGUCUGUUUUGCCUGAACCCAUCAACAGCUGGGAGAUUAAUCAACCACUCUGAAAAUGUACGGGGGAUUUGUGGGGGAGGGGUUGGAAUGUAGAUGUUUGGAACCAAUGUGUAUAAAUAAAUGAAUUGUUGAUAACUUAUUGACCUAGUAGCUUGUUAAAGAAACCCAGAGUUGCUCAUUCCUAGAGCUGGGGUUUCAGUAGGCACUUUAUUUCUCCACCUUCAAAAGCUUGAGCUUGCCCAACUCUUAGGCUGCCCAAUCCUGUUUCUAUUACUAAUUUAAAUUUAUGGCUUGAGCCACUACACUGAAAGCCAAAUCCAUU
Long non-coding RNA from Urocitellus parryii (Arctic ground squirrel), 1232 nucleotides. RefSeq lists it as uncharacterized. The record is from RefSeq and is a predicted model, not a curated record. NCBI's taxonomy places the organism in Eukaryota, Metazoa, Chordata, Mammalia, Rodentia, Sciuridae.